RNAcentral lists this long non-coding RNA (10748 nucleotides) under Brassica napus (rape). RNAcentral's name for it is "long non-coding RNA (BNAP_LNC014295)". Lineage: Eukaryota; Viridiplantae; Streptophyta; Magnoliopsida; Brassicales; Brassicaceae. The record is from RNAcentral.
CACGGCUUCUUUGGGAUCACUGGUGGCACGUAGAUUGGUGGAUGCUCUAUCUUCGGUGGCGGCUUGUAGACCGGAACCGGUGGUGGAUCGACCUUCGGCGCUUUGGGCGGGCAUGGCUUCUUCGGGAUCACCGGUGGCACGUAGAUUGGUGGAUGCUCUAUCUUCGGUGGUGGCUUGUAAACCGGUACUGGUGGUGGAAGCUUGAUCUUUGGCGCUUUAGGCGGGCACGGCUUCUUUGGCGGCUUGUGGAUUGGUACCGGCGGUGGAAGGACUAUUUUCGGCGGCGGCUUGUGGACUGGAACCGGUGGCGGAUCAACUUUCUUUGGUGGCAUGGGCGGACAAGGCUUCUUAGUCGGUGGUUUGUGAACUGGCACUGGCGGUGGAAGCUCAAUCUUUGGCGACUUAGGCGGGCAUGGCUUCUUGGGGAUUGUUGGUGGCUUGUGUACUGGAACCGGAGGUGGGUGCUCUACCUUUGGAGGUGGCUUGUAAACCGGAACCGGAGGUGGGUGCUCUACCUUUGGAGGCGGCUUGUAAACCGGAACCGGAGGUGGGUGCUCUACCUUUGGAGGCGGCUUGUAAACCGGAACUGGAGGUGGGUGCUCUACCUUUGGAGGUGGCUUGUAAACCGGGACAGGUGGUGGAUGCUCCACCUUUGGAGGUGGCUCGUACACUGGAACCGGAGGUGGUGGGCAAGGUUUAGGAAACGGUGGAAGCUCCAAAGGUGGAGGUAGAGGGAAAGGGUGAUCAAAUCCCUUAAAAGGAGGGAACUUAGGCAUAGGCCAAAAGAAUUUGGAAACACAAAGUUCAGGUGAAAAUUUGAGAUUUUGUUUGAGACCCAAAACGUGUUUGUCUCCAGAUUUGUAUAGAAACACGAUCUGGUUGGACUCUAGGCCGUCAUGAGCCGGGCAAGGUGUUCCUACCGCGCUAUGAAGCUGAGCAUAACACUCCUCCUUCAAAGCUCCGUCCUCGGAGACAAUGUCAUGAGUAGGAACUUUCAGACCGAACUUUCCGUCUUCAUCAAUGUUUCCAGAAGCUUUUGUAACAAAAUGCCCUUUAUUCACCUUACAGUCAAUCGUCACUCGGAGUCCUUUGACAAGUAACAACCACACUUAUCAAAUAACUACAAAAAAAUGACACUAGAUACCACAAAAUGUUAAUAUUAAUGUGGUAUACCUGAGAAUGCAUGGGGGGUUUUGAUCUUGCUCUCGGCGUUACCAACAACUUCGACGACGCGAGCGAGAGAUAGAGUCGCUGAAAAGACAACGGACAGGAGGAGAAGGAGGCAUGGAACCGAACCUCGAGGUUCUGGUAAGAUCCUCAUUGGGAUUCUCACCCUCUGAGAUUUUUUGACACAGUACUACGACACUUUCCUUUCCGGAAAAUGUAGUUUACAAGAAGAAAGAAACUAUAUGUUAUAUGAUUUGAGUAUUAGUGAAGAAGAUGAUAUGAUUAUAGCGAGACUCCCUCUCGUAUAUAUAAUGGUCUUAUCAUAGCAAUUUUCAAAAACGGAUCUUGAUUAUUACUUCUUAAGCUUUCUUAUUUUAUUUUUUACCAACAAUAAUUGGGACUCGGUGGUUUCUUUUAUUUGGUAUCAUUUAUUUAAAUUAUUAUGUCAUGGUCCAUCUCUUAUCGUUGUAAUUUCCGUCUACGGCAAUAAUUUUUCAUGCUUUUCAUGCAGGGUGGUUGAAACAAUUUGACUAAUCUGUUUUAUUUAUUUAUUUAUCUUUAUUCGAAAAUGCAUUCAGGUUUACCUUUUUGUUUCCAUAAUUAACGCUAUUGCACGAGACACAUUGUAGAACUUUCAUCACAUGAACCUUUUGAUCUAUAAAUUAAAAUGUUUUUUUUCCUUUGUGAUAUAUACAGCCAAUAACAAAAAAGUAAUGCAGAUACUACAAGAUGACCAUGCAUAUAUAUGAUAACUUUUUAUUUGCUUUUGUUUCACACACACGAUCGAUAUAGUUUAUGUAAAAACAUGAAAUGAAUUAAUGAGUGCAUAUAUACGUGCAACCAACCCCGAAUUGAAGCGAACCAGAUUAUGGUUAGAAGAGAAACUUUAAAAUAUGUGGAAAAAUAGUCACACUGCUUGUGCUACUUGUCCUGGCCCCUUCUUUAGUAACUAAACCAGUGUGCCGUAUAUAAAUCAAAAUCAGAUACACAGUCGAAUUUGUCCUCAAGAUCAUCAGGAUCUGUCUUGGAAGGCUCAGCUGCUGUUUUAUAAAAUGUUAUUAAUAAAACUAAUUUUUAUCUAUUAUUAUUUAUUUUUAUUCAUUUAUGUAUUAUGUAUAUAAUUAAAUUAGAGUAAAGACAUAAAUCAAAACAAUACAUCUUGUUUUUUUAUGAUACUUUUUUGGUAAAUUAAUCAAAACAAUCAUUUAUUUAUUUUAUACGGUAUAUAACUAAAUUUCAAUGACAUAGACAUAGAUAUAUAGUAUAAUUUAACAUAAAUAUUUAUUAUUGAGAAUUCAUACUCAUAUGAUAACACAAAAUUUCUAAUGUGCGAUUUUUUGAAUGCAAAUUUUAAAAUUAAAAUAUUAAGGUUUCAAUACUUUUUCAAUACAAAUUUAGAAAUUAUCUUAUUUAAAUAUUUUACUACGUUAUAUAGUUUAAUUUUAAACUAUAUUAAUAUAUAAUAUGAAUGUUUAGUAAAUGAGACUUUAUAUUCAUACGAUUUAGGGUCAUUUGUAUCUUGUUAUUACCAAAAAAAAUUAAACCUUUGAUCACAAAAUUUUAGUGUGACACAUUUAACGCUUUUCGUAAUUUAUAGUCGUUUUAAAAAUUCAAAAUAUAACUUAUAAGAAAUUAUUUUUUAUUAUCUGAUUUAUAUGGUUGUUUAAUAUCUUUUAAUAAUAUAAAAUUAAACAAAAAAGAACAAAGAUACAAAAAUUAUUAUCAAAUAUUUAUUAUUCAUAAUCAUUGAUUGUCAUAUAUAUGUUACUCAUAUCAGGCAAUUCCGUAGCUUUUAUUUAAGGAAAGUGCGAGAAUAUUUUUUGUACACUAUUUAUCAAUUUAAUAGUUAGUUUAAUAAAAAUUAUAUCUUAUAUAUUAAAACAUAAGUCACAACCUUGAUUCAUGUGUGAUAUUUUAAAAAAUGGACCAUUACUAGAAAAUCAUAUUUCAUUUAUUUCUUAAUAACAUUUUGACAUCAUUACUAAAUCACCUCAUAUAUUAUUGACUAUAAUAACUACUUUCGUAUAAGAUUUGAAGGAAGUCAUUAAUGUGUAUUUUAAGAAUCUUGAUCCGUGCAUUUCAAGUUUUAAAUUAUCUGAAAACACAUGUAUACAAAAUAUAAAAUAUACUUCUAAGAUCAUUACUUAUAUUCGUCAAACCAGUAAUCGUUAUCUAAAGUCAAAUUUAAUAUUAUAAAGAAAUAUAAACAUAUCUUAUGUAUUUUUCCAAAUUAACCAUAUAAACAAUCGUACAUAAGAAACUAACUUAUAAGCUAUUGCAUAGUAUUUUUUCUGUUUUGGUCAUAGUUUAUGAUAAACAUAUAUAUAUAUCACAAGUACUUUUUUUGUUUUGGUGAUAGUUUAUGAUAUUUAUAUUUCUAUUUUAUUGUUAAUGUAUUUAUUUCUAUUUAUUUAUAAGUAAAAUGUAUAAAUAUAGUUGUUUAGGUUAGUUGGUUAAAUAUAUUAAUUUUUUUGUGGUAAAAAUGUAAAGAAAUAUCUUAAAUUUUAAUAUUAUUAAUAUAAUUAGUUAAUAUAAUUCAAUAAUCACUUCAUUUUUUUUUAACAAAACCAAACCAUUUGGAUUGAUAAAACUUUUAACCAAAUGGAUUACUAGAAAAUCAUAUUUCAUUUAUUUCUUAAUAACAUUUUGACAUCAUUACUAAAUCACCUCAUAUAUUAUUGACUAUAAUAACUACUUUCGUAUAAGAUUUGAAGGAAGUCAUUAAUGUGUAUUUUAAGAAUCUUGAUCCGUGCAUUUCAAGUUUUAAAUUAUCUGAAAACACAUGUAUACAAAAUAUAAAAUAUACUUCUAAGAUCAUUACUUAUAUUCGUCAAACCAGUAAUCGUUAUCUAAAGUCAAAUUUAAUAUUAUAAAGAAAUAUAAACAUAUCUUAUGUAUUUUUCCAAAUUAACCAUAUAAACAAUCGUACAUAAGAAACUAACUUAUAAGCUAUUGCAUAGUAUUUUUUCUGUUUUGGUCAUAGUUUAUGAUAAACAUAUAUAUAUAUCACAAGUACUUUUUUUGUUUUGGUGAUAGUUUAUGAUAUUUAUAUUUCUAUUUUAUUGUUAAUGUAUUUAUUUCUAUUUAUUUAUAAGUAAAAUGUAUAAAUAUAGUUGUUUAGGUUAGUUGGUUAAAUAUAUUAAUUUUUUUGUGGUAAAAAUGUAAAGAAAUAUCUUAAAUUUUAAUAUUAUUAAUAUAAUUAGUUAAUAUAAUUCAAUAAUCACUUCAUUUUUUUUUAACAAAACCAAACCAUUUGGAUUGAUAAAACUUUUAACCAAAUGGUUUGGAAAUAUAUUUUUGUUUGGUUUAGAUCGGAUUGAGUUUGGUUGGGUCGGUUCGGUUUGGUUUGGUUCAUUUUUUUUGCCCACCCUAUUCUUGGCCCAUUUAUAAGAUGUAUAAUGUUUUAAUAGAUAAGAUUUAUAUAUUGUUGUAAAGACUUAUUUAAAUUUGUAUAUGUUUGAAUUACAUUACAUAUAAACUUGUAUAAGAUUUGAAGGAAGUCAUUAAUGUGUAUUUUAAGAAUCUUGAUCCGUGCAUUUCAAGUUUUAAAUUAUCUGAAAACACAUGUAUACAAAAUAUAAAAUAUACUUCUAAGAUCAUUACUUAUAUUCGUCAAACCAGUAAUCGUUAUCUAAAGUCAAAUUUAAUAUUAUAAAGAAAUAUAAACAUAUCUUAUGUAUUUUUCCAAAUUAACCAUAUAAACAAUCGUACAUAAGAAACUAACUUAUAAGCUAUUGCAUAGUAUUUUUUCUGUUUUGGUCAUAGUUUAUGAUAAACAUAUAUAUAUAUCACAAGUACUUUUUUUGUUUUGGUGAUAGUUUAUGAUAUUUAUAUUUCUAUUUUAUUGUUAAUGUAUUUAUUUCUAUUUAUUUAUAAGUAAAAUGUAUAAAUAUAGUUGUUUAGGUUAGUUGGUUAAAUAUAUUAAUUUUUUUGUGGUAAAAAUGUAAAGAAAUAUCUUAAAUUUUAAUAUUAUUAAUAUAAUUAGUUAAUAUAAUUCAAUAAUCACUUCAUUUUUUUUUAACAAAACCAAACCAUUUGGAUUGAUAAAACUUUUAACCAAAUGGUUUGGAAAUAUAUUUUUGUUUGGUUUAGAUCGGAUUGAGUUUGGUUGGGUCGGUUCGGUUUGGUUUGGUUCAUUUUUUUUGCCCACCCUAUUCUUGGCCCAUUUAUAAGAUGUAUAAUGUUUUAAUAGAUAAGAUUUAUAUAUUGUUGUAAAGACUUAUUUAAAUUUGUAUAUGUUUGAAUUACAUUACAUAUAAACUUAUAUUUUAAUAAUAUACCUUCAAUUGUAACUUAUUAAAAACAAUUAUCAAUGUUUUUUGUUUAAAAUUCGUUAGUUCAUUUUAUCAUAUGUUCUAAUAACUAAUACUAAAUGCUUAAAGAUUAGUGUAUACGAAUGUUUUUAAUUGUAAAAACUAUCAAAUAAAAUUUAUCAAAUAAAAUUGUUUAUUAUUUAAAAAUUAAAUAAAAAAAUAAAUGUAAAUUUAAUUUUGAUAAUAAGAUGUUAAAUAUAUUUCUAUUUAUUUAUAAGUAAAAUGUAUAAAUAUAGUUGUUUAGGUUAGUUGGUUAAAUAUAUUAAUUUUUUUGUGGUAAAAAUGUAAAGAAAUAUCUUAAAUUUUAAUAUUAUUAAUAUAAUUAGUUAAUAUAAUUCAAUAAUCACUUCAUUUUUUUUUAACAAAACCAAACCAUUUGGAUUGAUAAAACUUUUAACCAAAUGGUUUGGAAAUAUAUUUUUGUUUGGUUUAGAUCGGAUUGAGUUUGGUUGGGUCGGUUCGGUUUGGUUUGGUUCAUUUUUUUUGCCCACCCUAUUCUUGGCCCAUUUAUAAGAUGUAUAAUGUUUUAAUAGAUAAGAUUUAUAUAUUGUUGUAAAGACUUAUUUAAAUUUGUAUAUGUUUGAAUUACAUUACAUAUAAACUUAUAUUUUAAUAAUAUACCUUCAAUUGUAACUUAUUAAAAACAAUUAUCAAUGUUUUUUGUUUAAAAUUCGUUAGUUCAUUUUAUCAUAUGUUCUAAUAACUAAUACUAAAUGCUUAAAGAUUAGUGUAUACGAAUGUUUUUAAUUGUAAAAACUAUCAAAUAAAAUUUAUCAAAUAAAAUUGUUUAUUAUUUAAAAAUUAAAUAAAAAAAUAAAUGUAAAUUUAAUUUUGAUAAUAAGAUGUUAAAUAUAAAAUAAUUUUAAUUUUUUUAAGAAAGUAUAUAUUAGUUCUCUAAUAAUUAAGUAGAAAUCCAAUAAAAUAUAUUUAUAAUAAAAAGAAACAAUAAUACACUUGGUGGAUUCAUACAAUUAAUUUAAUAGAAAAAAAUGUAAACAACAAAAUUAUUGGAUUUGAAAAAAAUAAUAUAAACAUUUAAAAUAUAUACAUAAAAGUGAAAACAUUUGCGCGGUUGCGUGGAUCAAGAUCUAGUUAUAAGUUAAGAUGGAUCAACCAAUUUCUUAAAAAAUUUUAAAUUUUAUUCUCAUGGUGACACGUGGCUACAAAACAAUUUUGCAAUAUUUCUCAUUUAAUAUAUAAGGAUGUUACAAGUGGACUUACUCAUACAUGUUGAGAACAUGCCAAGUCCGAUUCGCACAUUCAGAGACCUAACUAUAAAUGAGUAAAAUAAAAUUUCCCGGGAUAUUUAUGUAGGAAUACCAAACUUACAAAUGCAGAUAGUAAAAAUUAUUUUGUUGUAUUGUUAGUCAAGUUAUACUAUUAGAGAUAUCAUUAUGAAUUACUGCCAUAUUAAAUCUCUACCUACUCAACCACGCCCAUUAAUACGGUGGCUUUGGACAGUUGGAAAAUAAGAGGUUCAAGUCGAAAGAGAGUAUAAAAUCAAUCUUCCGGUGUAAUGUCUUCAGAUUAAUUAAAUACUUGCACCUUAUCACCAACAAGUCCCAUUUUUAAUGUAAGAACAUGUAAUAAAUAUAUCAUUAUGUAGAUCGAUGAGUAUAAUCGAUUGGGGUACAUCUCAAGCGACUAUGCUUCCAUAUAUAUAUAUAUAUAUACUGUAAAUGUAAAUGUUCAUUUACAGUCUCUCAAACAAAAAUCAUUUACAGUUAUAAAAUUGUUUGGUAAAUAGAUUUUGCAUACAAAUUUCAAAUUUAGUCCCCUAAUCAGUGCCAUACAAAUACAAUAUACAUCCGAGAAAAACCAGGGCAUAUUUCAGAGAUCAUAACCAAAUUUAAACAGUCAAAUUUUAUACAGAAUGUAGGAGAUAAAAAUAUAAGCGGAUGUUUUGAUCAAAAAAAAAAUUGAUAAAAAAAGAUAAAAAUAUAAGCGGAUACAUUUUAUUGUAUGUUAAAACACUUCGGUAACUGGUAAGUAAACAAAUUAAGCGACGGUGAAAAGAUUGAUCACUAGAAACAAUAGUAGUAGUAUAUAAGGAAGAUAAACCCUAACCUAUGCAGCAGCGCAAUAAAUGUGGGUUGUCAAUAAAAAAAAAGUUGUGGCAACCAAGGAUAUAGUCCCACAUGGUGUGAGUUUUGUGAUAUUAUUUUUAGUAGGUGAAAUGCGAUAAAUAUAUGAACUGUAUAUGGUUCCACAUUAAUUGAGCAAUUGGAAUUGGUUUCGUGUAUAUUAAAAAAAAAACGAAAUGUUUUAUAAAAUAUGAGACGUGCGUAAGAAAAUAUCCAGAGAUCUGGAUAGUGACAUGUUCUCUGAGCAAACAGCUUUAUCGUUUAUAUAAACUCACACUGUCACACAUAUGUUAGAUACGUGUUGAAUGUACUAGUGGAAGUAAACACAAAGGUUGAUGUCCAAAGUAGUUGGACAGAUGGUUUGGACAAAAGUGAAACAAUGUUGAGACAAAAUCUUAUUCGAUAGAUAGCGCUUCUGAAUGAUGUCACCAUGCCCGCAACUAAUUCAUACCCACACCGAAGCUAAUAAUAAGAUUUGAACUCAUACGAUUAUGGGCCUAAAGAUAUGGACUCAACCACGGCCCAUUAAGGCCAAGAAAAGUUUAAAGCACAAGUCAACCAGAACCAGACUCUUUUAUCUCCUUCGGCUUCCUCAUAAAUAGUUUACCUUUUUUUUUCUCACUUUGCCGAGAAAAUCUGAGAAAAAGCGAAAAGUUGAGGAUGAAAAGUCCGAUUCACACGGUGUGGUCAUGGGUGAGGAGGCAGCCACCGAAGGUGAAAGCCUUUCUCGCGGUGGUCACCGGCAUGGCGGCUCUGGUUCUGCUCAGAUUCAUUGUCCACGAUCACGACAAUCUCUUCGUCGCCGCUGAAGCUGUUCAUUCAAUCGGGAUCUGCGUGCUCAUCUACAAACUCAUGAAGGAAAAGACAUGUGCUGGUAAUAAAAAUUCAAUCUUUCUUGUUUAAUUGUGUGUUUUCGAACAUCCCAAUUUUAGGGUUUUUUUUUUUGAAUUAGCUUUUGUGGAAUCAAGCAAUUUAGGGGUUUUAGGAUUACAAUUAUAAUUCGAAGGUUUAGGCAAACCCACAUCCGAAAGUGUGUACCUUUUUUGCUUGACUUUUGUGUAUUGAUUCUUUCUUUGCAGGAUUGUCGCUGAAGUCUCAGGAGCUGACGGCGAUAUUUCUAGCUGUGAGGCUGUAUUGCAGCUUUGUGAUGGAAUAUGAUAUACACACCGUUCUGGAUCUGGCUACUUUGGGGACGACUCUCUGGGUUAUUUUUAUGAUCCGUUUUAAGUUGAGGGCUAGUUACAUGGAGGACAAAGACAACUUUGCUCUCUAUUAUGUGGUAUGUCAAUAAGAAACUGAAAGCUUACAUUGUUAGAUUAGAGGAAACGGGCAGUCAAAGUAACGAUUAUCUGGUUUUGAUUUUUUAUUUGUUGCAGCUUGUGCCGUGUGUUGUGUUAGCUGUGUUGAUCCAUCCAUCGACCUCUCACAACAUAUUGAACAGGAUUUCGUGGGCGUUAUGUGUUUACCUUGAAGCUGUUUCAGUGCUGCCUCAGCUGCGAGUGAUGCAGAACACCAAGGUCCCCAACUUUAUUUCACAAUGGGAAGAUUGAGAACUUGAGCUAGAGGUAUUUGUUAUACUCUCUAAUCUCUGAAUCUAUUUUUUUGGUUGUUGUUUUCAGAUUGUGGAACCGUUCACGGCGCAUUAUGUAUUUGCACUUGGAGUAGCAAGGUUUCUUAGCUGUGCUCACUGGGUUUUACAGGUUAGCUUUCUAGUUUUUACUCUGGAUACAUUGAAAGUCGAUUUUGGAUGAUGAAAAGUAGCCUUGUGCACAAUGUUGUAUGUGUUUAAUAACAGGUUGUGGACACGAGGGGGAGAUUGCUGGUAGCGUUAGGUUAUGGAUUGUGGCCAUCAAUGGUUCUCAUCUCAGAAAUUGUUCAGACUUUCAUCCUUGCUGAUUUCUGUUACUACUAUGUCAAAAGGUACCGUUUAGUGAUCGCUAUCUUACCUCUUUAUUUAUUACACUACCUAGCUGAAAACAUGUUAACUUGUGCAGCGUUUUCGGAGGGCAGCUAGUUCUCCGGCUUCCGUCUGGAGUAGUAUAAAGUUACUCUCAGUGAUGUAAUACGGAAAGGAGACGGCUCAAUUUUUUCUUUACAUUUGAUCUUGACGUUUGUGUCUGAGGUGACUUGGUAACGAAUUAAUUUCACUGUGUUGUAUAUUUAGUUACCAUCGAUGGGUGUUUACAUGUCUUUCCGGUUACUUUACUCCCUUUCAUACUAUAAUAGUGAUUGGUAAAAAGCAAAUAACGAACCUUAACAAGCUAUUUUGAUCACACUGGGAAGAGGAAACGUCUGAAAGUUUUGAAGUUUUAUUAUUAUAGAUCACUGGAAGUGAGUCUGCGAAUACGAUGAGAAUCACGGUUGUUACAUAUAAAAAUAGCACAAGUACAGAGUUAAAGGUCUGAAAGGGUUUUCCCAUGGAUGAAGUUGAUCACUUUAGUGGCAGUUUCCUCUAGCGCAGAGGUCACAACAGCCAAGUUCUGUAAGAAUUCUUCUGCCGUCGGUUUGUCUCCGUCGAUCAGAUCGGUCACGGCUUUUAAGAAUAUGACUGGUACUUUCAGAAGUUCAGCAACAUAGGCCACCGCAGCACCCUGAACAAUCCAGAGCCACACAAGAGUUUCAACUAAUAUUUUUAUAUUCUUGCUAGAUUCCAGAAAUCAGAGAGGUGUUAACAUGACAUUACCUCCAUGUCCUUUAGUGUAGCAUCAUUGGCAAUGAUCAAUGAUUCAUCUUGUGUGGACAUAUCCAAGGAAUCACCAGUAGAUAACCUGCCAAUCUGAUUACAACCAAUCUUAUUAACAAUGCUUUUGAUAUCGUAAAACUUGAGAAACAGUUUUUGACUAAGCAACCUUCAAAUUGAGUUCCUUGAGGAGAUUGGGGGUUGAGAAUGCCUGACGAAGACCAACUCCGUACAGAUCAAACAUCUACAAGCGAGACACAAAACAGUCCCUCAGGAACUUGCGAAAUGAAAUGGGGAAAAAAGACCAGAACAAGAAGUGGAGAAAAGAAGAAGAAGGUACCGGAAUAGGUAUUCUCCUAUCAUGGAAGACAACAUCAGAUACAAGGAAUACAUCUCCUAUGUUGGCUCCUUUAACCUGAAUAUUGUUCAGCCAAUCAGCAAUCAGAGAAGCAAAUUCAAAUAUGAUCAAGCAUGGCAUUCUCACAAGCACAGAGAGAGAGAAAG